RNAcentral lists this ribosomal RNA (492 nucleotides) under uncultured bacterium. RNAcentral describes it as "partial 16S ribosomal RNA". It matches the Rfam family "Bacterial small subunit ribosomal RNA", at positions 30 to 507 of the family's 1533-position model. The record is from RNAcentral.
AUUGAACGCUGGCGGCAUGCUUUACACAUGCAAGUCGAACGGUUACAGGCCUUCGGGUGCUGACGUGUGGCGAACGGGUGUGUAAUGCAUCUGAACGUAUCCCUAGUUGGGGGGUAACGCAGCGAAAGCUGUGCUAAUACCCCAUGUGCUCUGUGGAUGAAAGCGUGGGACCGCUCCGCAAUGUUUGGCCUCGCGCCUUUGGAGCUGCCGAUGUCGGAUUAGCUAGUUGGUGGGGUAAAGGCCUACCAAGGCGACGAUCCGUAGCUGGUCUGAGAGGACGACCAGCCACACUGGGACUGAGACACGGCCCAGACUCCUACGGGAGGCAGCAGUGGGGAAUAUUGGACAAUGGGCGAAAGCCUGAUCCAGCAAUGCCGCGUGUGUGAAGAAGGCCUUCGGGUUGUAAAGCGCUUUAGGCAGGGAGGAAACGGUGUAAGUUAAUACCGGGCGCUAAUGACGGUACCAGCAGAAUAAGCACCGGCUAACUACGUG